Penaeus vannamei (Pacific white shrimp) is the source of this 163-nucleotide non-coding RNA. Lineage: Eukaryota; Metazoa; Arthropoda; Malacostraca; Decapoda; Penaeidae. The record is from RefSeq and is a predicted model, not a curated record.
CCUACAACCCGAAAAUCGUCAGAAGUCUUCCACCCAACGGCCCGAGGCGGCACACCACAGAUUCCGAGCCCGACAGCCAGACCUUCAACACUCCUGCUCCUACUAUUGACGAGAAAGCCGUGACGCAGAUGCUUGAGGACGUCAACCUCGACGAAGUCUUUGC